RNAcentral lists this ribosomal RNA (492 nucleotides) under uncultured bacterium. RNAcentral's name for it is "partial 16S ribosomal RNA". It matches the Rfam family "Bacterial small subunit ribosomal RNA", at positions 29 to 507 of the family's 1533-position model. The record is from RNAcentral.
AGUGAACGCUGGCGGUAGGCCUAACACAUGCAAGUCGAACGGCAGCACAGUAAGAGCUUGCUCUUACGGGUGGCGAGUGGCGGACGGGUGAGGAAUACAUCGGAAUCUACUUUUUCGUGGGGGAUAACGUAGGGAAACUUACGCUAAUACCGCAUACGACCUACGGGUGAAAGCAGGGGAUCUUCGCACCUUGCGCGAUUGAUUGAGCCGAUGUCGGGUUAGCUAGUUGGCGGGGUAAAGGCCCACCAAGGCGACGCUCCGUAGCUGGUCUGAGAGGAUGAUCAGCCACACUGGAACUGAGACACGGUCCAGACUCCUACGGGAGGCAGCAGUGGGGAAUAUUGGACAAUGGGCGCAAGCCUGAUCCAGCCAUACCGCGUGGGUGAAGAAGGCCUUCGGGUUGUAAAGCCCUUUUGUUGGGAAAGAAAAGCAGCAGGUUAAUACCCCGCUGUUCUGACGGUACCCAAAGAAUAAGCACCGGCUAACUUCGUG